Molecule: long non-coding RNA, 5072 nt
Organism: Piliocolobus tephrosceles (Ugandan red Colobus)
Lineage: Eukaryota; Metazoa; Chordata; Mammalia; Primates; Cercopithecidae
Exons: 2
Source: RefSeq, a predicted model, not a curated record
CCUUGAGCAUACAAGAAGAACAGUUCAUAAUACCACUUAAAAAGUCACCUGUGCUCAGCUUUUUGUUUUUACCUGGAAUUUUUCCUUUCUGUUGCCCACUGCAGUUUGAGAGAGAACCUGGAGUAGAGGCCAUUUGUCUUUAUCCCUUGGAGGCUUAAUGUUUACAUUUUUUAAACGUUCAUUUUUAUAGAUUCCAGGGGUACAUGUGCAGGUGUGUUAACAUGGACAUGCUGCGUAAUGGCUACUAGUGUACCCAUCACCUUAGUAGUGGACAUUAUAGUCAAUAGGUAAUUUUCCACCUUUCACCCUCCUACUACCCUCUCUUUUUUGGAGUCCCGGGAGUCUGUUCUUUCCCUCUAUAUGUCCAUGUGUACCCAUUGUUUAGCUUCCACUUACGAGUGAGAACGUGUGAUACUUCAUUUUCUGUUUCUGAAUUAUUUCACUCAGGGUGAUGGCCUCCAACUCCAUCCAUGUCACUGCGAAAGACAUGACUUCAUUAAGGCCUAGAUAUUUCUGAUCUGAUAUGCUCAAAGAAGUUCAGAAACAAAAUGAGUAUCUCCUCAGGACUCCUUUUCAGCCUGUAAAGAUCCUUCACUGGCUCUUUAGAAUUUCUUUCAUGACUCAGGAUUCUUCUGAGAAUUUAGGGAUAGGUGGAAGUGGCUUCUGAGUGAUGAGUGGGAGCAGAUUUUCAAGGUGGUUUAGGUCUAGAUUAAGUAGCCCAUCAAGUCUCCACUGCUCUGAGGGUGGUAUGUCAUCUAAGUGUGAACCUUUAGGGUACAAAAAUGGUAGGAGAACCAUGAGACAAGUAUUAAGGUCACUGAUGUGGCAAUUCUUAUCUUCAUUUGCUUCUACAGUUAAGUCUUCACUGGACUUUUAAUUAAGAUUUUAAAUUUUUGAGGGUGUAGAGUUUCCAUAAAAAGUCAUCAGUGAUAAUAAAUUUUAUUUGACUUUCUACUUAUUCUGGAUUCUAAAACAGAUGGACAUAUAAACAAUUUACCUUUGGAUCAGUUUGAGAGAAGAAACACUAUUCAGAAGAUUUAAAUCCCAGAAUUUAAUCCAUUGCUUUACUGCAAGUUUACAGAACUGCAAGUUUACAUUUGUCUUCACUUUUAUCUGCAGUAGUUGAUAUAUUGACUUUACACGUGAAAACUUAUACUAAUGUUGCUUACUGACCAAAAUUAUUCCUGGGUGGUAAAGAAACCUUCAGAUUUUCUACAGUAACCACUGAUGGGCCUCCUAGCAGCCAUUUUAAACAUAAAUUUGAUGUUGUUGCCCAAACAUCCCCAGUCCGUUUCAACUUUCAGAUCCUCAAGCCUACCAUAGUCCUUUGUGUUUGGUAUUGCUUUCCUAUCCUUAAAUGUGGUAGCUCCUUGAGCACAGGGACCUGUGUUUUGAUUCACUGUGUCUGCAUACUUCACUUCGCAGAACAUUUUCAAGGUCAAUCCAUGUUGUAGCAUGUAUCAGAACUACACUCCUUUUGUGGCUAAAUAUUCCAUUGCCUGCGUAUAGCAUAUUUAUCCAUUCAUUUUUCAGUGGACACUUGGGGUAUUUCCACCUUUUGGCUCUUGUGGAUAAUGUUGCAAUAAAUAUUGGCAUGAAAGUAUCUGUUCAAGUUCAUACCUUCAGUUCUUUAUAUGCCUAAAAGUAGAAUCACUGGAUCAUACAGUAAUCGUGUUUUGCUUUUUGAGGAACUGCCAAACUGUUUUCCACAGUGGCUGUACCAUUUUACAUUCCCACCAGCAAUGUAUAAGGGUUCACCAGAGAACCCUCAGAACAGAACAGAUACUUCACCGGAGAAGAUCAAUGGCAAAAAAAUCAGAAAAGAAAAAAAUGGAAAUGCAAAUUAAAGUUCACAGUGAGAUAUCAUUAGAUACCAAUUAGAAUGGCUAAAGUUUAAAUGGCUGAAAAUACCAGUUGUAUCCUUAGAACAAUAUCUGGCACAAAGUAAGGUGUAGGCAACCAGUAAGUAUUUGUUGAGUAGAUGGAUUCAUUUCUGUAAUUUGCUACCGUGCCCACCUACCUAUUAGCAUCUGCAGUGACAUACUGGUCUUCCUGCCAGUUCUUCUAGAUAAACUCUCCAAGGCCAGACCUUCCACUUGUAUUCCUCUUCCAAACUCUGUCACCUUGUGCCUGCUAAGACAAGCAGUUCUCUCCUCUCCUGCAUCAUCAAUUUUCCCCUCUUCUGGGUCAUUCCCCUCAGUAACAAACAUACUAUAGUUACCAUCUCUGAUUCUCUCUUUCCUUUUACAAUUUGGGAGUUGUCUAAACCAUAUACCUGUGACCAAAUGAUUUUUGACAAGGUUUCCAAGUUUGUUCAAUGAGGAAAGAAAAAUCUUUUCAACAAAUGAUGCUGGAAUAACUGGAUUUCCACAAGCAAAAGAGUGAAUUCAGAGCCCUAACUCACACCAUAUACAAAUGUUUACUCCAAAUGGAUCAGUGAAGAAUGGAUCAGACUUUUAGAAGAAACAUAGGGGUGUACUUCAUGACCUUUAAUUUGCCAAAGGGUUCUUAAGACACCAAAAGCAUGAAUUACAAAAGAUAAAUUGGACUUCAUCAAAAUUAAAAUUAAAAAAUUUUUAUGCACAAAAUUAAAAAUAUUUGUGCAUCAAAGGACAUUAUCAAAAAAAGUAAGGCAAUCUACAGAAUGGGAGAAAAUACUUGUAAAUUAUAUAUCUGAUAAGGGAUUAAUACCAGAAUAUAUAAAGAACUACAAUUUAACAAAAAGUCCAAUUAAAAAUGGGCAGAGCAUUACUAAUUUCUUUAAUGAAGAUACAUGAAUGGCUAACAUAUUUUGUAAAGAGACUCAGAAUCAUUAGCCAUCAGGGCAAUGCAAAUUAAAACCGUAAUGAGGUACCACUUCACACUUACUAGGAUGGCUCUACUCUUUUAAAAAGUGGAAAGUAAGUGUUGGCAAGGAUAGAAAUCAGAAACCAGAAUGCACUGCUGGUGGGAAUGUAAAAUGGUACAGCCACAUGGAAAACAGUUCAGCACUCCCUCAGAGCUAAACAUAAAAUUACCAUGUGACCCCUCAUUUCUACUUUUAGAUGUAUAGUCAAAAGAAAGUAGGGAUUUGAACAGAUACUUACAUGCUCAUAUUAAUUGCAGCAUUAUUCACAGUAGCCAAAACUUGGAAACAACCCAGAUGUCCAUUGAAAAGUGAAUGGAUGAAGAAAAUGCAUCAUAUAUGGGACAGUGGCAUACUAUACAGCCAUAAAAGGAAUGGAGUUUUGAUACAUAGAACAUGAUGAACCUUGCAGAUGUUAUGCUAAGUGAAAUAAAUAGACACAAAAGGACAAAUAUAUGUUCCACUUACGUGAAAUACCAUGAAUAGAGAAAACCAUGUUCUGAGCUGUGGACUUUUAUACCUGGAUGUCUACUCUGAGGCCAUCAAAAGAACUCACUCAUAGAUCAGUGUGCCUCAUUUCAUAGUCUGCUUUGGAUUCCCACACACCCACUGAUCCAAAGUCUGUGGAAUAAGGAGGCAUCUUUCAGCAAAGAAGGCAGACAUGAAAGUGUACAUUGUGAUCUCUCUAAUUGUUACGAAGUUGAAGAACUGGCCAAACUGAUGUAUGUUGACAGGAAUCAAAACAGGGGCCACCUGUGAAGGGGUGGACAGUGUUAUCUGAAAAGUUGCAGGGGAGAUUAUCUAUGUUAAUGGACAUGAGCCAUACAUUGAGAGGGCUGCUGGCUACUGAAAGGAAUAUAAAAUUUUAAAAAUUUGUGAAAUCAUGCAGUUAACAUCUGCACACUUCACUGUAUUUUAAGUUUUUAUUAAUAUAAAAGAAUAAGAAAACAGAAUAGUAUUCCUGUUAAACUAUAAUAGAGAAAAGUAUGCUUUAUUUACAAAUUUCUCCCACUAGCCGAUCAUACAAUUGACCAAUUCAGGGUGCCCACUGCUGGUUGGAUGCCAGGCGGAAUGUCAGGGUGUUCUCUGGUGUCUGUUGUGGCUGUGGGAUCCAUGGUUACUGGGCGGAGCCCUAUGGUGGCUGUGGUGCCAUGGAGGGGCUGCAAUCUUCUGUGGAGCUGGACCCUGCGCUGACUCCUGGGAAGCUGGAUGAGGAGAUGGUGGGGCUGCCACCCCAUGACCCGAGUCCUCAAGUCACUUUCCACAGCCUCGAUGGGAAGACAGUGGUGUGUCCACACCUCGCGGGCUUACUGCUGAGUCUCUUACUUUUAUUGACUUUGUCUCUUAGGAACCGACUCUGUGUAAGAGGUGAAAGGCAACUUGCAGAAACACUGCAUUCACAGGUGAAGGAGGAAUGCCAGCUCACUGGCAAGAAAACAGAUUGUAGAGACUGAGGCAUCUUUAAAAGAUGUCAGGGUACAGAAAAUGUCUUUCAACACCCCCGGCUUUGUAGAUGCUUACAAGACGGUAAAUAGCACCAAUGCGAUGCUGAUGGAGAAAUUCAUGUCCCUGAUUUAAGAACUGAAAGAAGAGAGAUCCAGACUCUCCAGGCAACAAGAGAAGCUGGUAGAGAUGCUAACAACACUGGAGGCCCUGGGAGAGGCCAUGAGAGCCACCCAGUCACGAGGAGCUUUUCUACACCUGCCAGGCAGCUGAGAGCCAAGCCCUGCUGCUCCCUCCCCCACGAGGGGGCUGGGUCUUAGAGCAGCACUGUUCUCUCCCCUCCACUCAGGCCUCCCGAGCUGCCAGGCUCUGAUUCCACACUGACUCUAUCUGAGUAGUCCUUGAGGUCACUGGAUCCGGGGCACCCCACCCCUGGCCUGGAGUUCCUCCUCCUCCUCACUGUAACACCGCAGCCAGCUCCUCAAUGGGCGGUGCCUCCAAAUCUAAAGAAUACGGAGGUCCUGAAGCACACCAAGAAAUGGGGGACUUUCUCUUCACAGAAAGUUUGAAUUCUGUCUCAAUGAGACAGAAUGCCAUACUUGAGCACCUCAUCUUUUGCUCAAAUUGAAAUGUCAUCAAACUGUAUUUCUGAAGUCAACGAUCUGUAAAUAUGAUUUAUGUAUUAAUCUCCUAAGUGAACAAUUUAUAUUUUACCAUCUACAUAAUUAUUGUAUUAUGCUUUAAAAAUAUAUUUAGUUUAUCAAUAAAGACAUUCAGUACUCAA